RNAcentral lists this ribosomal RNA (274 nucleotides) under uncultured bacterium. Its description in RNAcentral is "partial 16S ribosomal RNA". It matches the Rfam family "Bacterial small subunit ribosomal RNA", at positions 523 to 796 of the family's 1533-position model. The record is from RNAcentral.
AUACGGAGGGUCCAAGCGUUGUUCGGAAUCACUGGGCGUAAAGCGCGCGUAGGUGGAUCAAUUAGUUGAGGGUGAAAUCCCGGGGCUCAACCUCGGAACUGCCUUCAAUACUGUUGAUCUUGAGACCGAGAGAGGUGAGUGGAAUUCCUAGUGUAGAGGUGAAAUUCGUAGAUAUUAGGAAGAACACCAGUGGCGAAGGCGGCUCACUGGCUCGGUACUGACGCUGAGGUGCGAAAGCGUGGGGAGCAAACAGGAUUAGAAACCCUAGUAGUCC